This is a long non-coding RNA of Molossus molossus (Pallas's mastiff bat), 230 nucleotides long. RefSeq lists it as uncharacterized. The transcript is spliced from 3 exons. Lineage: Eukaryota; Metazoa; Chordata; Mammalia; Chiroptera; Molossidae. The record is from RefSeq and is a predicted model, not a curated record.
GGAGAAGAUCCUGGUGCUUGGCCCAAUGUUGAGACAUCUCUAAGGGUGUGUGCUCUUUGAAGACUUCAGAUGUUCUUCAGAACCAGAUGUCCCUGGUGACCAGAUCAACCAAAGGAAGUAACUGAGCAAAAGUAUUGAGUAAUACAGGUAAAAUGGUGAAAAAGAAAUAACUCUGUCUCUACUGAUCUGGAAUGAUGUCCAAGAUAAAUUUCUAAGUGGGGAAAAAAUAG